This 448-nucleotide ribosomal RNA is filed under the name uncultured bacterium. RNAcentral's name for it is "bacterial SSU rRNA". It matches the Rfam family "Bacterial small subunit ribosomal RNA", at positions 329 to 794 of the family's 1533-position model. The record is from RNAcentral.
UGCCAGACUCCUACGGGAGGCAGCAGUGGGGAAUAUUGCACAAUGGGGGAAACCCUGAUGCAGCAACGCCGCGUGAAGGGAGACGGUUUUCGGAUUGUAAACUUCUGUUCUUAGUGAAGAAUAAUGACGGUAGCUAAGGAGCAAGCCACGGCUAACUACGUGCCAGCAGCCGCGGUAAUACGUAGGUGGCAAGCGUUGUCCGGAAUUACUGGGUGUAAAGGGAGCGUAGGCGGGCGAGAAAGUUGAAUGUUAAAUCUACCGGCUUAACUGGUAGCUGCGUUCAAAACUUCUUGUCUUGAGUGAAGUAGAGGCAGGCGGAAUUCCUAGUGUAGCGGUGAAAUGCGUAGAUAUUAGGAGGAACACCAGUGGCGAAGGCGGCCUGCUGGGCUUUAACUGACGCUGAGGCUCGAAAGCGUGGGGAGCAAACAGGAUUAGAUACCCGGGUAUC